GACGAACGCUGGCGGCGUGCUUAACACAUGCAAGUCGAACGAGAACGGAAUAUAGCUUGCUAUAUUUGUCAGCUAAGUGGCGCACGGGUGAGUAAUGUAUAGAUAACCUGCCCUUAAGAAAGGAAUAACAGUUGGAAACGACUGCUAAUGCCCUAUAUGCCUUUAAUACAUAAGUAUGCAAGGGAAACGCUUUAGUGCUUAAGGAUGGGUCUGUAUGGUAUCAGCUUGUUGGUGAGGUAAUGGCUCACCAAGGCUAUGACGCCUAACUGGUUUGAGAGGAUGGUCAGUCACACUGGAACUGAGACACGGUCCAGACUCCUACGGGAGGCAGCAGUGGGGAAUAUUGCACAAUGGACGAAAGUCUGAUGCAGCAACGCCGCGUGGAGGAUGACACAUUUCGGUGCGUAAACUCCUUUUAUAUAGGAAGGUAAUGACGGUACUAUAUGAAUAAGCACCGGCUAACUCCGUGCCAGCAGCCGCGGUAA
RNAcentral lists this ribosomal RNA (485 nucleotides) under uncultured bacterium. RNAcentral describes it as "partial 16S ribosomal RNA". It matches the Rfam family "Bacterial small subunit ribosomal RNA", at positions 28 to 523 of the family's 1533-position model. The record is from RNAcentral.